RNAcentral lists this ribosomal RNA (581 nucleotides) under Escherichia coli. Its description in RNAcentral is "bacterial SSU rRNA". It matches the Rfam family "Bacterial small subunit ribosomal RNA", at positions 613 to 1194 of the family's 1533-position model. The record is from RNAcentral. Lineage: Bacteria; Pseudomonadati; Pseudomonadota; Gammaproteobacteria; Enterobacterales; Enterobacteriaceae.
CCUGGGAACUGCAUCUGAUACUGGCAAGCUUGAGUCUCGUAGAGGGGGGUAGAAUUCCAGGUGUAGCGGUGAAAUGCGUAGAGAUCUGGAGGAAUACCGGUGGCGAAGGCGGCCCCCUGGACGAAGACUGACGCUCAGGUGCGAAAGCGUGGGUAGCAAACAGGAUUAGAUACCCUGGUAGUCCACGCCGUAAACGAUGUCGACUUGGAGGUUGUGCCCUUGAGGCGUGGCUUCCGGAGCUAACGCGUUAAGUCGACCGCCUGGGGAGUACGGCCGCAAGGUUAAAACUCAAAUGAAUUGACGGGGGCCCGCACAAGCGGUGGAGCAUGUGGUUUAAUUCGAUGCAACGCGAAGAACCUUACCUGGUCUUGACAUCCACGGAAGUUUUCAGAGAUGAGAAUGUGCCUUCGGGAACCGUGAGACAGGUGCUGCAUGGCUGUCGUCAGCUCGUGUUGUGAAAUGUUGGGUUAAGUCCCGCAACGAGCGCAACCCUUAUCCUUUGUUGCCAGCGGUCCGGCCGGGAACUCAAAGGAGACUGCCAGUGAUAAACUGGAGGAAGGUGGGGAUGACUUGACGUCAUC